This 504-nucleotide ribosomal RNA is filed under the name uncultured bacterium. Its description in RNAcentral is "partial 16S ribosomal RNA". It matches the Rfam family "Bacterial small subunit ribosomal RNA", at positions 30 to 523 of the family's 1533-position model. The record is from RNAcentral.
AUUGAACGCUGGCGGCAGGCCUAACACAUGCAAGUCGAACGGUAGAAGAGAGAGCUUGCUCUCGGGUGACGAGUGGCGGACGGGUGAGUAACGUCUGGGAAACUGCCCGAUGGAGGGGGAUAACUACUGGAAACGGUAGCUAAUACCGCAUAACGUCGCAAGACCAAAGUGGGGGACCUUCGGGCCUCACACCAUCGGAUGUGCCCAGAUGGGAUUAGCUAGUAGGUGGGGUAAUGGCUCACCUAGGCGACGAUCCCUAGCUGGUCUGAGAGGAUGACCAGCCACACUGGAACUGAGACACGGUCCAGACUCCUACGGGAGGCAGCAGUGGGGAAUAUUGCACAAUGGGCGCAAGCCUGAUGCAGCCAUGCCGCGUGUAUGAAGAAGGCCUUCGGGUUGUAAAGUACUUUCAGCGGGGAGGAAGGCGGUGAAGUUAAUAGCUUCACCGAUUGACGUUACCCGCAGAAGAAGCACCGGCUAACUCCGUGCCAGCAGCCGCCGUAA